AUCGUGAUUUAUAUUAUUUGUAAAUGUAAAGAGAAUCAUUAAUGAGAGUAUGUCAAGUAACGGUGAUUAGAGCGAUAAGUGGAUUCUACUGUGUCUCAGUUUAUCUGGAUUGAUUGAAAAUCUUGUAUCUGAUCCGGGAAUGGACUUUGCAGAAACCAUGAAAAAUAUUGUUGCCAAAGGUAUGCAGUCUGAAAUGGGGCCACCAGGUGGAGGAGCUGGUUUUCCUGGCACACCAAGUAGCAUUGGUUAUGUUACUGAAAAAAUGUACGCUUUAUUGCAAGCGUAUCUCCAAAAUAAAGGUUGGAAUCCAAGCAUCGAACUUCUACAAUGUUUUUCAGAAUUUAAGGAUGCAUCAAUGAUUCCAAGCGCUGCUUACUUGCAGAUGAUGGCGACAAGGAUAGCUUUGGACUCUCAAGGACGACUAGUUCUUAGAGAAAAUGGAAAAAUAAUAUUGCCCUAUGAACAUUUUGCAAAUGCUGUGAUGUUAAAGCAUACAAAUGGUCCACAUGGUUUACAUUUAGGGUUAGAAGGCACGGUUAGGGCUGUUAUGGAAUCGUACACUAUAGGACGAGAAUGUUUUGGUAUGGAAAAAGAAUUUAUAAUAGAAGUGGUACAAAAUUGUCCAAAUUCUGCUUGCAUUUAUUAUAAAAAUCAACUUGAGUUAUCAAAAAAAAUGGGACAUAUGACUCCAACUUAUAUUCAAGAUAAUGAGACAACAGCUUCUCUUUUACGUAGUAGAUUUCCUCAUAAUACAGAUUUUCAGGCAACUUUAAGCAAUGCUAAUCCAAAUACUCAUAUGGGAGGAGCGUCUGCAACAGAUUUGGCAGAAAUGAGAAGUGCUGGAAACCAAAUGAACCUUCAACGACCUCCAAGCCGUCCAUCAUUAAAUAUUCCACAUCGAUCUGUAUCACAAGAAAAGAAAGUAACUAGUGGGAAACAACACUAUGAAUCUCUAGUAUCAACUAUUUCAAUAUCUGAUCACAAAUUAACAGACUUUUUAAGAACAAAUUUAGAUAAUUUGGAUAAUCUCAGUGGACUUGGAUUAGGAAAUCUACAAGGAUUAGGAAAUGCAAACAAAGACUUGUUAGCUUUACAUAAUGGAGCUUGGCCAUUAGAGAAUGAAAAAGGAAAUCGCUCAUUUUCAAAUUCAGAAGGUGGGCAAGAAAAGAUAGUAAGGGCUUUUGCAGAAGUAAUGAAGAAUAUGGCAAGAAUGAAAGCUUGUGUGCGUCCUGCAAUGUGUAAACCUUAUGGAAAACAGUCAGAGGCUUUGCAGAAAACAUUGGUAGAUACAAUACAACUUGUACAAUCACUGCGAAGUUUCUUGCCACCACCACAUAUUCCUGUAUCGAGCUGGAAAAACGAAGACAAACAUCGAUUAGACCAUACGAGUACUCCUUACCUUCCACCAUUCAUUGCCUUAAAUACUGCUGGGGCCAAUUCCUUAGCGCAGGACACGAAGCAACGCUGAAAAGGUAGGACUCGGUUACUGCCCUUAAAUAGAGAAGCUACAUAGUAGUGGUUGACUAGUGUCUUCCUAAUGGCGGUCCAGGGCAGGAUGUUCAAGGUAUUGGCGAUAUCUAAUGAUACCGCCACGUACACCCACCGCAGGGUACUGCUGCCUCCGCGAGGGAAUUGGCCCCGCUUAAUUGCGUCGAUCGCAGAUCGUCUCUCAUGAAAGCCGUACUGGCAGACAGCCACAUCAGGAUCAACUGUGGACAGGUGCCAGUCGAGAGACUUUUGAGAUCGUGGUGGACGGACGCACUCGUGGGUUGCUCCGCGACAAAGAUUAACCUAUAAGAAGUGAAGUGCCGUUUAAAGGGUAUAGCCGGAUAAGGUCCUCCAACAACAUCGGUGGCGCAGCGGUGAAGGCGUCUGACUCGUAAACCACUGCAUACUCCCUUUGGCACAGGUUCGA
This 1915-nucleotide unclassified non-coding RNA is filed under the name Megachile rotundata (alfalfa leafcutting bee). RNAcentral's name for it is "uncharacterized LOC100878018, transcript variant X8". Lineage: Eukaryota; Metazoa; Arthropoda; Insecta; Hymenoptera; Megachilidae. The record is from RNAcentral.